This 492-nucleotide ribosomal RNA is filed under the name uncultured bacterium. Its description in RNAcentral is "partial 16S ribosomal RNA". It matches the Rfam family "Bacterial small subunit ribosomal RNA", at positions 29 to 507 of the family's 1533-position model. The record is from RNAcentral.
AGUGAACGCUGGCGGUAGGCCUAACACAUGCAAGUCGAACGGCAGCACAGUAAGAGCGUGCGCUUACGGGUGGCGGGUGGCGGACGGGUGAGGAAUGCAUCGGAAUCUACUUUUUCGGGGGGGAUAACGUAGGGAAACUUACGCUAAUACCGCAUACGACCUACGGGUGAAAGCAGGGGAUCUUCGGACCUUGCGCGGAUGAAUGAGCCGAUGUCGGUUUGGCUGGUUGGCGGGGUAAAGGCCCACCAAGUGGACGAUCCGUGGCUGGUCGGAGAGGAUGAUCACCCACCCUGGAACUGAGCCACCGUCCAGACUCCUACGGGAGGCAGCAGUGGGGAAUAUUGGGCAAUGGGCGCAAGCCUGGUCCAGCCAUACCGCGUGGGUUACGAAGGCCUUCGGGUUGUAAAGCCCUUUUGUUGGGAAAGAAAAGCAGCCGGUUAAUACCCCGCUGUUCUGACGGUACCCAAAGAAUAAGCACCGGCUAACUUCGUG